UCACAAUCGGCUUGAUCUUCGAUUUGCAUGGCCAAGGAUGAGUCAAGGUUUCCUUUUGACUGGGUAUAAGGUGUUGAAUCGCAACUUCGCAAGGAGGUCCAGCUUCAUCAGGUGAUUCAGAGGAAGAGAGAAUCCGAGAGUUCAAGUGCUUGGUGACCAGUUCUGGACCAUUUCCUUUCCCUCUAGCUAAAAGAGAAUGAGAUAUCAUAAGGGCUCUCUCUCUUCCUUCUUUUUUCUAAUUCUUAGUGCUAUGGUGGUGUGUUGUAUCUGUUUUUCCUAUCGAUGGUGAAG
RNAcentral lists this unclassified non-coding RNA (291 nucleotides) under Hevea brasiliensis (rubber tree). Lineage: Eukaryota; Viridiplantae; Streptophyta; Magnoliopsida; Malpighiales; Euphorbiaceae. The record is from RNAcentral.